RNAcentral lists this unclassified non-coding RNA (240 nucleotides) under soil metagenome. RNAcentral describes it as "partial contains 5.8S ribosomal RNA, internal transcribed spacer 2, and large subunit ribosomal RNA". The record is from RNAcentral.
AACGCACGAGACCUGCGGACCUGCGGAGGGAUCAUUAAAGUAAAAUAUGGGGUUCAUAAAUUAUGACCCUUAAAUCUGAACUUGUGGUAUCACUGAUUUGGUUGUUUUGGGUUUAAAAAGGAUAGGCUAAUAUGAAUGGGAAAUUUUUUUUUUUUCUAGGUUUCUUUUUUUGCAUUAGACUUGUCGACCCAAAACAAAAACUGAAAAGCUCUUAUUUUUUUUUGACUGAAAUAUCAAGUU